This 20-nucleotide non-coding RNA is filed under the name Mus musculus (house mouse). The record is from RNAcentral. Lineage: Eukaryota; Metazoa; Chordata; Mammalia; Rodentia; Muridae.
UGGAAGCUUCCUUCCCUGUC